AUUUAAGCAAGUAUUAUUUACAGAGAAUAUACUUUUGCUUCAAAAUUUUGCAAGGUUUCCACCAUUAAAACAUUUUCCAAAACACUUACAAAAUUUUCCAUUGCACUUUAGGACUUUGACCUCUGUGCAAGGAAUGGAGCACCCUUCCCAUAAAAUUAGGGAACUCAACAUUCCAGUUUCUCCAGCAGGCCACAUUUAGACAA
RNAcentral lists this unclassified non-coding RNA (203 nucleotides) under Hevea brasiliensis (rubber tree). Lineage: Eukaryota; Viridiplantae; Streptophyta; Magnoliopsida; Malpighiales; Euphorbiaceae. The record is from RNAcentral.